RNAcentral lists this ribosomal RNA (162 nucleotides) under Angelica likiangensis. RNAcentral's name for it is "5.8S ribosomal RNA". It matches the Rfam family "5.8S ribosomal RNA". Rfam says of the family: 5.8S ribosomal RNA (5.8S rRNA) is a component of the large subunit of the eukaryotic ribosome. It is transcribed by RNA polymerase I as part of the 45S precursor that also contains 18S and 28S rRNA. The record is from RNAcentral. Lineage: Eukaryota; Viridiplantae; Streptophyta; Magnoliopsida; Apiales; Apiaceae.
ACUCUCGACAACGGAUAUCUCGGCUCUCGCAUCGAUGAAGAACGUAGCGAAAUGCGAUACUUGGUGUGAAUUGCAGAAUCCCGUGAACCAUCGAGUCUUUGAACGCAAGUUGCGCCCGAAGCCACUUGGCUGAGGGCACGCCUGCCUGGGUGUCACGCAUCG